RNAcentral lists this ribosomal RNA (253 nucleotides) under uncultured bacterium. Its description in RNAcentral is "partial 16S ribosomal RNA". It matches the Rfam family "Bacterial small subunit ribosomal RNA", at positions 524 to 776 of the family's 1533-position model. The record is from RNAcentral.
UACGAAGGGUGCAAGCGUUAAUCGGAAUUACUGGGCGUAAAGCGUGCGCAGGCGGUUUGUUAAGUCUGCUGUGAAAUCCCCGAGCUCAACUUGGGAAUUGCAGUGGAUACUGGCAAGCUGGAGUACGGUAGAGGAAGGUGGAAUUCCCGGUGUAGCAGUGAAAUGCGUAGAGAUCGGGAGGAACACCAGUGGCGAAGGCGGCCUUCUGGACCAGUACUGACGCUCAUGCACGAAAGCGUGGGGAGCAAACAGG